This 611-nucleotide ribosomal RNA is filed under the name uncultured bacterium. RNAcentral describes it as "bacterial SSU rRNA". It matches the Rfam family "Bacterial small subunit ribosomal RNA", at positions 8 to 652 of the family's 1533-position model. The record is from RNAcentral.
AGAGUUUGAUCAUGGCUCAGGAUGAAUGCUGGCGGCGUGCCUAAUACAUGCAAGUCGAGCGGUAAGGCCCUUCGGGGUACACGAGCGGCGGACGGCUGAGUAACGCGUGGGAACGUGCCCCAAAGUGAGGGAUAACCUCGAGAAAUCGAGGCUAAUACCGCAUAUGGUCUUCGGAUUAAAGGAUUUAUCCGCUUUGGGAGCGGCCCGCGUACGAUUAGUUUGUUGGUGAGGUAAUGGCUCACCAAGACUACGAUCGUUAACUGGUCUGAGAGGAUGAUCAGUCAGACUGGAACUGAGACACGGUCCAGACUCCUACGGGAGGCAGCAGUAAGGAAUCUUCCACAAUGGGCGAAAGCCUGAUGGAGCAACGCCGCGUGCAGGAUGAAGGCCCUCGGGUCGUAAACUGCUUUUAUGAGUGAAGAAUAUGACGGUAACUCAUGAAUAAGCACCGGCUAACUACGUGCCAGCAGCCGCGGUCAUACGUAGGGUGCAAGCAUUAUACGGAGUGACUGGGCGUAAAGAGUUGCGUAGGUGGUUAGUAAAAGCGAAUAGUGAAACCUGGUGGCUCAACCAUACAGACUAUUAUUCGAACUGACUAACUCCAGAGUGGG